Molecule: ribosomal RNA, 435 nt
Filed under: uncultured bacterium
Lineage: Bacteria
Description: partial 16S ribosomal RNA
Rfam family: Bacterial small subunit ribosomal RNA
Source: RNAcentral
AACGAACGCUGGCGGCAUGCCUAACACAUGCAAGUCGAACGAUUGCCUUCGGGUGAUAGUGGCGCACGGGUGCGUAACGCGUGGGAAUCUGCCCUUAGGUUCGGAAUAACAGCUGGAAACGGCUGCUAAUACCGGAUGAUAUCGCGAGAUCAAAGAUUUAUCGCCUGAGGAUGAGCCCGCGUUGGAUUAGGUAGUUGGUGGGGUAAAGGCCUACCAAGCCGACGAUCCAUAGCUGGUCUGAGAGGAUGAUCAGCCACACUGGGACUGAGACACGGCCCAGACUCCUACGGGAGGCAGCAGUGGGGAAUAUUGGACAAUGGGCGCAAGCCUGAUCCGGCAAUGCCGCGUGAGUGAUGAAGGCCCUAGGGUUGUAAAGCUCUUUUACCCGGGAAGAUAAUGACUGUACCGGGAGAAUAAGCCCCGGCUAACUCCGUG